UUGCUAGCCCUAUGCAAUAGGAAAUAGAAACAACGCUUCAGGAUGGGAACAUAGCAGAGCAUUUCUAUUUUUUGUGUGCCAUUGGUUUCUGGUAAAUG
Molecule: signal recognition particle RNA, 98 nt
Filed under: Helicobacter aurati
Lineage: Bacteria; Pseudomonadati; Campylobacterota; Epsilonproteobacteria; Campylobacterales; Helicobacteraceae
Description: signal recognition particle sRNA small type
Rfam family: Bacterial small signal recognition particle RNA
About the family: The signal recognition particle (SRP) is a universally conserved ribonucleoprotein involved in the co-translational targeting of proteins to membranes. Archaeal SRP consists of a 7S RNA and homologues of the eukaryotic SRP19 and SRP54 proteins. In most bacteria, the SRP consists of a 4.5S RNA and the Ffh protein (a homologue of the eukaryotic SRP54 protein).
Source: RNAcentral